RNAcentral lists this ribosomal RNA (499 nucleotides) under uncultured bacterium. RNAcentral describes it as "partial 16S ribosomal RNA". It matches the Rfam family "Bacterial small subunit ribosomal RNA", at positions 28 to 507 of the family's 1533-position model. The record is from RNAcentral.
GACGAACGCUGGCGGCGUGCUUAACACAUGCAAGUCGAACGGGCCCGCCCCUGUUUUUGGGGGUGGGUUGAGUGGCGAACGGGUGAGUAUCACGUGAGUAACCUGCCCCCUGCUCCUGGAUAACUGCUUGAAAGGGCGGCUAAUACGGGGUGUGCCGGCUGGUCCGCAUGGGCCUGGUCGGGAUAGUUUCAUCUUCGGGUGUUUCGGUGGGGGAUGGGCUCGCGGCCUAUCAGCUUGUUGGUGGGGUGAUGGCCCACCAAGGCGGUGACGGGUAGCCGGCCUGAGAGGGUGGGCGGCCACACUGGGACUGAGACACGGCCCAGACUCCUGCGGGAGGCAGCAGUGGGGGGUAUUGCACAAUGGGCGGAAGCCUGAUGCAGCGACGUCGCGUGAGGGAUGGAGGCCUUCGGGUUGUGAACCUCUUUCUCCGGUGGUGAAGGCCCUGUCCGUUGCGGCGGGGUUGACGGUGGCCGGGUAUGAAGCGCCGGCUAACUACGUG